GAUGAACGCUGACAGAAUGCUUAACACAUGCAAGUCGAUGGGGAAGUGGUGCUUGCACCAUGGCAACCAUGGCGGACGGGUGAGUAACGCGUAAGGGACUUACCUGCAGGACUGGGAUAACAGGGGGAAACUCCUGACAAGACCGGAUAAUGUCAUGGAGCUGCAUGGCUUUAUGAUGAAAGGAGACGCCUGCGGAGAGCCUUGCGUCCUAUUAGCUAGUUGGUGAGGUAAUGGCUCACCAAGGCGAAGAUAGGUAGCCGGCCUGAGAGGGUGGACGGCCACAAGGGGACUGAGAUCCGGCCCUUACUCCUACGGGAGGCAGCAGUGGGGAAUAUUGGACAAUGGGGGCAACCCUGAUCCAGCAAUUCUGUGUGCACGAAGAAGGUUUUCGGAUUGUAAAGUGCUUUCAGCAGGGAAGAAGUAAGUGACGGUACCUGCAGAAGAAGCGACGGCUAAAUACGUG
This 463-nucleotide ribosomal RNA is filed under the name uncultured bacterium. Its description in RNAcentral is "partial 16S ribosomal RNA". It matches the Rfam family "Bacterial small subunit ribosomal RNA", at positions 28 to 507 of the family's 1533-position model. The record is from RNAcentral.